Molecule: small nuclear RNA, 107 nt
Organism: Monodelphis domestica (gray short-tailed opossum)
Lineage: Eukaryota; Metazoa; Chordata; Mammalia; Didelphimorphia; Didelphidae
Source: Ensembl
GUUCUUGCUUCAGCAACACAUGUACUAAAAUUGGAACAAUGCAGAGAAGAUGAGCAUGGUCCCUGAGCAAGGAUGACAUAAAAAUUUGUGAAGUGUUCCCUAUUCUG